AAACGAGGAAGUGAAGUCAAGUCCGCCAUUUCAUCUUCUUCUUUUUAUCGGAAAAGAAAGGAAUCAUGCAAGGAUGCAAGCUGAAGGAAAGGACAACUCUCACAUCAGUGCAUUACUAAUUGUUUGACUUCAUCAUCAAGCACACCAGGUGGUGCGGUGCACAGUGGAUAGCUCUGUUGCCUCCCAGCAAAAAUGUUUCUGGUUCGAGCCUCGGCUGGGUCAGUUGGCAUUUCUGUGUGAAGUUUGUAUGUUCUCCCCGUGUUGGCGUGGGUUUCCUCCAGGUGCUCCUGUUUCCCCCACAAGACAUGCGGUACAGGUGAAUUGGGUAAGCUAAAUUGUCCUUAGUGAAUGUGUGUAAAUGAGAGUGUAUGGGUUUUUCCCAG
Molecule: non-coding RNA, 383 nt
Organism: Danio rerio (zebrafish)
Lineage: Eukaryota; Metazoa; Chordata; Actinopteri; Cypriniformes; Danionidae
Source: Ensembl